This is a non-coding RNA of Nasonia vitripennis (jewel wasp), 103 nucleotides long. RefSeq annotates it as microRNA mir-14. NCBI's taxonomy places the organism in Eukaryota, Metazoa, Arthropoda, Insecta, Hymenoptera, Pteromalidae. The transcript has a single exon. The record is from RefSeq and is marked provisional.
CUUUUUAUUCGCUCGGUCAGUGGGGGUGAGAAACUGGCUUGGCUAUGUACUCCCCAUUGUGGACAGUCAGUCUUUUUCUCUCUCCUAUUGGCCCGGCGAGAAU